This 253-nucleotide ribosomal RNA is filed under the name uncultured bacterium. RNAcentral's name for it is "partial 16S ribosomal RNA". It matches the Rfam family "Bacterial small subunit ribosomal RNA", at positions 524 to 776 of the family's 1533-position model. The record is from RNAcentral.
UACGUAGGGGGCAAGCGUUGUCCGGAAUCAUUGGGCGUAAAGCGCGCGUAGGCGGCCCGGUAAGUCCGCUGUAAAAGUCCAGGGCUCAACCCUGGAAAGCCGGUGGAUACUGUCGGGCUCGAGUCCGGAAGAGGCGAGUGGAAUUCCUGGUGUAGCGGUGGAAUGCGCAGAUAUCAGGAAGAACACCCGUGGCGAAGGCGGCUCUCUGGGACGGUACUGACGCUGAGACGCGAAAGCGUGGGGAGCGAACAGG